This 305-nucleotide ribosomal RNA is filed under the name uncultured bacterium. Its description in RNAcentral is "partial 16S ribosomal RNA". It matches the Rfam family "Bacterial small subunit ribosomal RNA", at positions 505 to 807 of the family's 1533-position model. The record is from RNAcentral.
ACAGCAGCAGCCACGGUAAUACCGAGGGUGCGAGCGUUAAUCGGAUUUACUGGGCGUAAAGCGUGCGUAGGCGGCUUCUUAAGUCGGAUGUGAAAUCCCUGAGCUUAACUUAGGAAUUGCAUUCGAUACUGGGAAGCUAGAGUAUGGGAGAGGAUGGUAGAAUUCCAGGUGUAGCGGUGAAAUGCGUAGAGAUCUGGAGGAAUACCGAUGGCGAAGGCAGCCAUCUGGCCUAAUACUGACGCUGAGGUACGAAAGCAUGGGGAGCAAACAGGAUUAGAUACCCCAGUAGUCCCUGUCUCUUAUAC